This 257-nucleotide ribosomal RNA is filed under the name uncultured bacterium. RNAcentral describes it as "partial 16S ribosomal RNA". It matches the Rfam family "Bacterial small subunit ribosomal RNA", at positions 111 to 354 of the family's 1533-position model. The record is from RNAcentral.
CGGUACGUGGAGAACCUGCCGUAUACUGGGGGAUAACACUUAGAAAUAGGUGCUAAUACCGCAUAAGCGCACAGCUUCGCAUGAAGCAGUGUGGAAAACAAAAAGCUAAAGCUUUUGGUGGUAUACGAUGGAUCCGCGUCUGAUUAGCUAGUUGGCGGGGUAAAGGCCCACCAAGGCGACGAUCAGUAGCCGGCCUGAGAGGGUGAACGGCCACAUUGGGACUGAGACACGGCCCAAACUCCUACGGGAGGCAGCAG